CUACGGGCGGCAGCAGUGGGGAAUAUUGCACAAUGGGCGCAAGCCUGAUGCAGCCAUGCCGCGUGUGUGAAGAAGGCCUUCGGGUUGUAAAGCACUUUCAGCGGGGAGGAAGGCGGUGAGGUUAAUAACCUCAUCGAUUGACGUUACCCGCAGAAGAAGCACCGGCUAACUCCGUGCCAGCAGCCGCGGUAAUACGGAGGGUGCAAGCGUUAAUCGGAAUUACUGGGCGUAAAGCGCACGCAGGCGGUCUGUCAAGGCGGAUGUGAAAUCCCCGGGCUCAACCUGGGAACUGCAUUCGAAACUGGCAGGCUAGAGUCUUGUAGAGGGGGGUAGAAUUCCAGGUGUAGCGGUGAAAUGCGUAGAGAUCUGGAGGAAUACCGGUGGCGAAGGCGGCCCCCUGGACAAAGACUGACGCUCAGGUGCGAAAGCGUGGGGAGCAAACAGGAUUAGAUACCCUUGUAGUC
This 464-nucleotide ribosomal RNA is filed under the name uncultured Klebsiella sp. RNAcentral describes it as "bacterial SSU rRNA". It matches the Rfam family "Bacterial small subunit ribosomal RNA", at positions 339 to 795 of the family's 1533-position model. Lineage: Bacteria; Pseudomonadati; Pseudomonadota; Gammaproteobacteria; Enterobacterales; Enterobacteriaceae. The record is from RNAcentral.